RNAcentral lists this long non-coding RNA (391 nucleotides) under Triticum aestivum (bread wheat). RNAcentral's name for it is "long non-coding RNA (TAES_LNC027757)". The record is from RNAcentral. Lineage: Eukaryota; Viridiplantae; Streptophyta; Magnoliopsida; Poales; Poaceae.
ACUGUCAUACAGCAUCCAUGAGCAUGCACAAAAUUAAACCUGACAUACUUAACAUUGACAUGUUCAUAUUACACUAACAAGCUUAAACCUAACAUGCUGAACACCUUCUUAACAUCUUCACUCCUCCUUCUUCUCCUUCAUCAACCUGAUGCGCUCAGAGUGGCGAAUCCCAACGCGGAUGUACUCCUCUACCACAAUUGGCAUGGUCCUGUCGCCAAGCUGUGGGAUUGCAGGCGCCGCCACCAUCGCGAGGUCGUCGUCCGCCACCACCAUAGCAAGGUCGUCGUCCGCCACCACCAUAGCAAGGUCGUCGUUCGCCACCACCAUAGCAAGGUUGUCAUCCGCCACCACCAUAGCAGGGUCGUCGUCAGCCACCACCAUAGCAUGUUCG